AAUUCGAUGCAACGCGAAAACCUUACCACCUUUGACAUGUACGGAAGCCUUUAGAGAUAGAGGCGUGCUCGAAAGAGAGCCGUAACACAGGUGCUGCAUGGCUGUCGUCAGCUCGUGUCGUGAGAUGUUGGGUUAAGUCCCGCAACGAGCGCAACCCUUGUCAUUAGUUGCUACAUUCAGUUGGGCACUCUAAUGAGACUGCCGGUGACAAGCCGGAGGAGGGUGGGGAUGACGUCAAGUCCUCAUGGCCCUUAUAGGUGGGGCUACACACGUCAUACAAUGGCUGGUACAAAGGGUUGCCAACCCGCGAGGGGGAGCUAAUCCCAUAAAGCCAGUCGUAGUCCGGAUCGUAGUCUGCAACUCGACUACGUGAAGUCGGAAUCGCUAGUAAUCGUGGAUCAGAAUGUCACGGUGAAUACGUUCCCGGGUCUU
Molecule: ribosomal RNA, 432 nt
Filed under: uncultured Rhodoferax sp.
Lineage: Bacteria; Pseudomonadati; Pseudomonadota; Betaproteobacteria; Burkholderiales; Comamonadaceae
Description: bacterial SSU rRNA
Rfam family: Bacterial small subunit ribosomal RNA
Source: RNAcentral